Molecule: ribosomal RNA, 254 nt
Filed under: uncultured prokaryote
Description: partial 16S ribosomal RNA
Rfam family: Bacterial small subunit ribosomal RNA
Source: RNAcentral
UGGGGAAUAUUGCGCAAUGGGCGAAAGCCUGACGCAGCGACGCCGCGUGAGGGAAGAAGGCCUUCGGGUCGUAAACCUCUGUCUAGAGGGAAGAAACCAUUGAGGUCGAACAGGCCUCUUUGCUGACGGUACCUCUGAAGGAAGCACCGGCUAACUCCGUGCCAGCAGCCGCGGUAAUACGGAGGGUGCGAGGGUUCAUCGGAAUCACUGGGCGUAAAGCGCACGUAGGCGGUGGCGUAAGUCGGAUGUGAAAG